AUGGAUAAGCUUUUGUCUGGUAUGAAGAGUGAGUACACAAAAGUCUUUGACUACCAGCUAGAGUUGCUUAGGAGUAACCCAGGAAGUACAAUAGCUAUUUGCUUGGACCCAGAAGAAAUGGAAGUGAAUGUUUUCCAGCAGUUAUAUGUUUGCUCCAGUGCUUUGAAGCAAGGGUUUAAAGCUGGGUGCAGGAAGGUGAUAGGGCUAGAUGGCUGCUUUUUCAAAGGAGCAUUCCAAGGUGAACUACUUGCUGCAAUUGCUAGGGAUGCAAACAACCAAAUGUACCCUGUAGCUUGGGCAGUUGUUGAAAAGGAGACUACAGAAACAUGGAAAUGGUUCAUUGGGCUGCUAAUCAAGGAUCUGGAUAUAAAUGAUCAAGGAGCUGGGUGGGUUUUCAUAUCUGACCAGCAAAAGGGAUUAAUUAAUAGCAUGAGGGAUUACUUGCCUAGGGCACAACAUAGGAUGUGUGCUAGGCACAUUUAUGCCAAUUGGAGAAAGAAGCAUAGAUAUCAUGAACUGCAGAAAAGGUUCUGGGCAAUUGCCAAGUCUUCUAACAGAGAGGAUUUCAACUAUAACAAGGACAAGCUUGCUCAAAAGACUCCUGAAGGUGCAAAGGAUAUUAUGAGGACAGAGCCAAAGCAUUGGGCCAGAUCCUUUUUCCCACCGGGAUCAAAGUGUGAAUUAGUGGAUAACAAUCUUUGUGAGUCUUUUAACAAUGCUAUCAUUGAGUUCAGGUUUUACCCCAUAAUAUCACAGCAAGAAAUGAUCAGGAAGAAAGUCUUUGCUAGAAUUCAGGACCAGAGAAGUAAAAGUGUGAAGUGGCAUGGCAUAGUUUGCCCUAACAUUAUGAAGAAAAUGCAUGCCAACGUUAAGAUGACUCAGUUCUGUGAUGUGCUCUGGAAUGGGAAGGAUGGAUUUGAGGUAAAGCACUUAAGAGGCAGAGGAAAGAGAUACACAGUAAACCUUGCCAACAAGACAUGCUCAUGUGGGUAUCUUCAACUGGCAGGCCUUCCUUGCUGCCAUGCCAUAUGUGCCAUAUACAAGAGUGGACAGAAAAUAGAAGAUUUCAUUGACCCAUGCUACUACAUUGAUACUUUCAAGAAAAUAUAUGAGCACUGCCUCCAACCUGUGGAAGGUGAAGAAAACUGGCCAGUUUCUCAGAACCCUAGGCCAGUGGCACCUGGAUAUGUUGCAAUGCCUAGAGCUAGGAAAAAAACAAUGACAUGA
This 1227-nucleotide ribosomal RNA is filed under the name Triticum aestivum (bread wheat). Its description in RNAcentral is "partial small subunit ribosomal RNA". Lineage: Eukaryota; Viridiplantae; Streptophyta; Magnoliopsida; Poales; Poaceae. The record is from RNAcentral.